AAAAAAAGAGAGAAAAUUUUG
This 21-nucleotide small RNA is filed under the name Arabidopsis thaliana (thale cress). Its description in RNAcentral is "ATSL209240". Lineage: Eukaryota; Viridiplantae; Streptophyta; Magnoliopsida; Brassicales; Brassicaceae. The record is from RNAcentral.